CCCUUAGAUGUUCUGGGCUGCACGCGUGCUACAAUGGCGCUUGCAACAAGUCUUGCCAACCCGAUAGGGUGAGCGGAUCUUUGAAGAGGCGUCGUGAUCGGGACAGUUGAUUGCAAUUAUUCGACUCGAACGAGGAAUUCCUUGUAAUCGCGAUUCAUCAUAUCGCGCUGAAUACGUCCUGCCCUUUGUACACACCGCCCGUCGCUCCUACCGAUUGAGCGAUCCGGUGAAUGUUUUGGACUGGCGUCAGAAGCGGUUCGCUCCUGACACUACGAAAUUUUGUAAACCUUAUCGCUUAGAGGAAGGAAAAGUCGUAACA
Molecule: ribosomal RNA, 319 nt
Filed under: uncultured eukaryote
Lineage: Eukaryota
Description: partial 18S ribosomal RNA
Rfam family: Eukaryotic small subunit ribosomal RNA
Source: RNAcentral